UAUUUAUAUAGUUUAUUAAAACAUUACAUUUUCAUUGUAAAAAUAAAAUAAUUAAUAUUUUUAUAAAUAUUAU
RNAcentral lists this transfer RNA (73 nucleotides) under Apodemia mormo (Mormon metalmark). RNAcentral describes it as "tRNA-Glu". Lineage: Eukaryota; Metazoa; Arthropoda; Insecta; Lepidoptera; Riodinidae. The record is from RNAcentral.